RNAcentral lists this transfer RNA (66 nucleotides) under Ulva compressa. Its description in RNAcentral is "tRNA-Thr". Lineage: Eukaryota; Viridiplantae; Chlorophyta; Ulvophyceae; Ulvales; Ulvaceae. The record is from RNAcentral.
UUAUUAGUAUUUAUUAGUUAAAUUUGUAUUUUAUUAAUUUUAGUUUAAUAAGUAUUGAUUAAUUAA